CCCUCCCACGCAGCUCACAACUUCAUUCUGCCGGAGAACAGGCUGCCAAGAGGCUCCGGGAACCUGCGGGCAAGCUGAGCUGGAGGAAGAAAACAGAAAGGAGGAGGGCCUUUGUAACCAAGAUCUGAAAUGUGCUGGGGCACACACCCCGCCAUUAUCUUAACGUUUGAAGAGCGGGUCGGGGGAGCCUUUGCUGAAACCCUUAGGUGGUCUCUCAAGUUGCCACAUCAAACCUCUGUGCACAAAGGGCAUUUGUCGCCUCCUGUUUCCCUGGCUGGAAGGGAGGAGGCCUCCAGUGUGCAGGAGGUCAGAUGGACGCCUGGGAUCUCAGCUCAGCAACCCAGCCUGGCCGCAUAGCCUCUUUCUGAGGAGCAGCAGAACCCCCGAGCCACAGCGGGCUUCCACCCACACAAAUGUGCCCAGCAGUCUAGCACCUGUCACCUGGGGUCAUCCUGCUCUUCUUGGCCACGUGAGGUGCUGGUCACCUUACCCAACCUGCGGCCUCUACACAGAGAGGCCUUGGGGGAGAGGAAAAGCUUCUCCAGUGAUUGAUGUCAGCAGCUCACCGAGGCCCCGCUCCUUGGGUCAGGUGUGGAAGGGGUGCCUUGGGAACCAUUCCCACCAUUUGCCAUCAUCGUGUGCUGGAGGAAGGAGCCUAACCGUUUCUGCUCCCACUGCAGCUUGGACAGCCUCUGAGGAGACAAGGUGAAGGCUCUCCCAUCACAGCGGUAGGGCCUCUGCAGAAGCCUCCAGCCCAGGGAACGCCGUCACCCCAGCCUCUGCAGAGCACCCUGUGGCUUUCUCUCCAACCCACACGCCAGAGAUUGUUUUCAAAAUCUAGGUCUGCGACUUCUCAUUAGAGGGUGGUAAUACCAGAAUAUCCACCUUUGACAUGUCUU
Molecule: long non-coding RNA, 899 nt
Filed under: Homo sapiens (human)
Lineage: Eukaryota; Metazoa; Chordata; Mammalia; Primates; Hominidae
Description: HSALNT0045935
Source: RNAcentral